RNAcentral lists this ribosomal RNA (1508 nucleotides) under Salmonella enterica subsp. enterica serovar Weltevreden. Its description in RNAcentral is "partial 23S ribosomal RNA". It matches the Rfam family "Bacterial large subunit ribosomal RNA", at positions 1273 to 2764 of the family's 2925-position model. The record is from RNAcentral. Lineage: Bacteria; Pseudomonadati; Pseudomonadota; Gammaproteobacteria; Enterobacterales; Enterobacteriaceae.
CUGGAGGUAUCAGAAGUGCGAAUGCUGACAUAAGUAACGAUAAAGCGGGUGAAAAGCCCGCUCGCCGGAAGACCAAGGGUUCCUGUCCAACGUUAAUCGGGGCAGGGUGAGUCGACCCCUAAGGCGAGGCCGAAAGGCGUAGUCGAUGGGAAACGGGUUAAUAUUCCCGUACUUGGUGUUACUGCGAAGGGGGGACGGAGAAGGCUAUGUUGGCCGGGCGACGGUUGUCCCGGUUUAAGCGUGUAGGUGUGUGUUCCAGGUAAAUCCGGUUCACUUUAACACUGAGGCGUGACGACGAGGCACUACGGUGCUGAAGCAACAAAUGCCCUGCUUCCAGGAAAAGCCUCUAAGCAUCAGGUAACAUCAAAUCGUACCCCAAACCGACACAGGUGGUCAGGUAGAGAAUACCAAGGCGCUUGAGAGAACUCGGGUGAAGGAACUAGGCAAAAUGGUGCCGUAACUUCGGGAGAAGGCACGCUGACACGUAGGUGAAGUGAUUUACUCAUGGAGCUGAAGUCAGUCGAAGAUACCAGCUGGCUGCAACUGUUUAUUAAAAACACAGCACUGUGCAAACACGAAAGUGGACGUAUACGGUGUGACGCCUGCCCGGUGCCGGAAGGUUAAUUGAUGGGGUCAGCGCAAGCGAAGCUCCUGAUCGAAGCCCCGGUAAACGGCGGCCGUAACUAUAACGGUCCUAAGGUAGCGAAAUUCCUUGUCGGGUAAGUUCCGACCUGCACGAAUGGCGUAAUGAUGGCCAGGCUGUCUCCACCCGAGACUCAGUGAAAUUGAACUCGCUGUGAAGAUGCAGUGUACCCGCGGCAAGACGGAAAGACCCCGUGAACCUUUACUAUAGCUUGACACUGAACAUUGAGCCUUGAUGUGUAGGAUAGGUGGGAGGCUUUGAAGCGUGGACGCCAGUCUGCGUGGAGCCGACCUUGAAAUACCACCCUUUAAUGUUUGAUGUUCUAACGUGGACCCGUAAUCCGGGUUGCGGACAGUGUCUGGUGGGUAGUUUGACUGGGGCGGUCUCCUCCUAAAGAGUAACGGAGGAGCACGAAGGUUGGCUAAUCCUGGUCGGACAUCAGGAGGUUAGUGCAAUGGCAUAAGCCAGCUUGACUGCGAGCGUGACGGCGCGAGCAGGUGCGAAAGCAGGUCAUAGUGAUCCGGUGGUUCUGAAUGGAAGGGCCAUCGCUCAACGGAUAAAAGGUACUCCGGGGAUAACAGGCUGAUACCGCCCAAGAGUUCAUAUCGACGGCGGUGUUUGGCACCUCGAUGUCGGCUCAUCACAUCCUGGGGCUGAAGUAGGUCCCAAGGGUAUGGCUGUUCGCCAUUUAAAGUGGUACGCGAGCUGGGUUUAGAACGUCGUGAGACAGUUCGGUCCCUAUCUGCCGUGGGCGCUGGAGAACUGAGGGGGGCUGCUCCUAGUACGAGAGGACCGGAGUGGACGCAUCACUGGUGUUCGGGUUGUCAUGCCAAUGGCACUGCCCGGUAGCUAAAUGCGGAAGAGA